Molecule: ribosomal RNA, 278 nt
Filed under: uncultured prokaryote
Description: partial 16S ribosomal RNA
Rfam family: Bacterial small subunit ribosomal RNA
Source: RNAcentral
UACGAAGGGUGCAAGCGUUAAUCGGAAUUACUGGGCGUAAAGCGCGCGUAGGUGGUUCGUUAAGUUAGGAGUGAAAGCCCCGGGCUCAACCUGGGAAUUGCUUCUAAAACUGGCGAGCUAGAGUAUGGUAGAGGGUGGUGGAAUUUCCUGUGUAGCGGUGAAAUGCGUAGAUAUAGGAAGGAACAUCAGUGGCGAAGGCGGCUCUCUGGAAUCCUGCUGACGCUGAGGCGCGAAAGUCGGGGGAGCAAACAGGAUUAGAUACCCCCGUAGUCCCUGAG